This 296-nucleotide ribosomal RNA is filed under the name uncultured bacterium. RNAcentral's name for it is "partial 16S ribosomal RNA". It matches the Rfam family "Bacterial small subunit ribosomal RNA", at positions 789 to 1084 of the family's 1533-position model. The record is from RNAcentral.
GGUAGUCCACGCCGUAAACGAUGGGCACUAGGUGUGGGGGGUGUCGACUCCCCCGUGCCGGAGCUAACGCAUUAAGUGCCCCGCCUGGGGAGUACGGCCGCAAGGCUAAAACUCAAAGGAAUUGACGGGGGCCCGCACAAGCAGCGGAGCAUGUGGUUUAAUUCGACGCGACGCGAAGAACCUUACCUGGGCUUGACAUGUCCGUGACAGCCGUGGAAACACGGUCUCCCUUCGGGGGCACGGUCACAGGUGGUGCAUGGCUGUCGUCAGCUCGUGUCGCGAGAUGUUGGGUUAAG